AACUGUGAAUCCCAGUGAUGAUUGAAUCUGGUGAUAUUCUGAAGAAAAGGUCUCUCAACCAUGCUUGUGGCUGUUUCCUUCAUGUGACACUGACUCAACAGGCAUUCUAGGCUUCUGAGUGACACACGGUGACAAUCCUAAAUGUAGGACGUAAUGAUUGUAAUGUAUAUUUUAGGUGUUGGGACAUGUGAAAAGAUUUCUGCUUGUCUGGCAAGGAAAGAGAACAGUCAGGUAAACAGGGGUUCAGGGGAAGAUGCCAAAGACAACUCUCACAUCCUAAUGGUACAGCAUGUUUCAGAUGACCGUUAUUAAAUAGAAAUGCACAGGUUUUCCAGGAAUGCUUAGAGAGGAAGGAUGGUCAGUGGUUAGGGUGCUAGCCUGGGCCACAAGGCUACCCAUGUUCAAUUCCUGUUCCAUCUCAGACUUCCCGGGUGAUUCUGAAGAGGGAAAAACUGGCUGAGCUAUCUGUGGGAAAGCGUGAGUACCCCUCCAAGAGCAGAGCCUGAGGGGAACCCUCUUCAGGGUAGAAAGCAGGCGGUUGCUAGGCAGCCUUCAGUCACGUGGAG
Mauremys mutica (yellowpond turtle) is the source of this 566-nucleotide long non-coding RNA. RefSeq lists it as uncharacterized. The record is from RefSeq and is a predicted model, not a curated record. NCBI's taxonomy places the organism in Eukaryota, Metazoa, Chordata, Testudines, Geoemydidae. The transcript is spliced from 3 exons.